GGGCGGUUAGCUCAGUUGGUAGAGCACUGGACUGAAAAUCCAGGUGUCCGCAGUUCAAAUCUGCGACCGCCCACCA
This 76-nucleotide transfer RNA is filed under the name Nitrospirota bacterium. Its description in RNAcentral is "Nitrospirae bacterium (marine sediment metagenome) tRNA-Phe". It matches the Rfam family "tRNA". From Rfam's summary of the family: Transfer RNA (tRNA) molecules are approximately 80 nucleotides in length. The record is from RNAcentral. RNAcentral also lists the same sequence under 2 other names. Lineage: Bacteria; Pseudomonadati; Nitrospirota.